This is a non-coding RNA of Musa acuminata subsp. malaccensis (wild Malaysian banana), 1667 nucleotides long. The record is from RefSeq and is a predicted model, not a curated record. Lineage: Eukaryota; Viridiplantae; Streptophyta; Magnoliopsida; Zingiberales; Musaceae.
ACUUCGCCGCUCGCCGACUCUUCAGCGUGCGUCCCCCUGACUACGGGAGGAGGAGGCGGAGAAGACGCCGAGCAACGGAUGGCGGCAGCGGCAGAGGGACGAAAACAACAAGAGGCACGCGGCGUACGCAAGCGCAAGGAUCCGCCUAGCCAUGGCCAGACGAUAGCAGCAGAUGAAGAAGAGCAACGACAGCCGCAACGACAACAAGAAGAAGGGCGGAAGCGGAGGAGGAAGCCGAAGACGUGCUUCGUCUACGGCAACUACAAGAGCUACUACAGCUAUCGAAUUGAUCGCAAUGUGAAGGAAGAUCCUAGACUUGCUCUGUUUAAGAGAGAAUGGUUUGAAGGCAAGGAUUGCCUUGACAUUGGCUGCAAUGAGGGUCUAAUAACUAUUAGCAUAGCAAAGAAGUUCUUUUGCCAAAGCAUUCUUGGCAUAGAUAUUGAUGCAGGUUUAGUUGAAACUGCUUAUUGGAACUUGCGUAAGUCAGCUAGAAUGAAACGUGGCAAUUGUACAUCCAUGGAGGCUUCUAGAAUACAGGAUUCAGAAUGUGUGAACUCUUUGAACACCAAUGCUGAUCCAGCUUCAAAUGGGAAACCAUCUAGUUCCCAAACCUCCCUUCCUGUAGAUGAACUUUUAAAGAGAGUUUCUUUCCGGCAUGAAAAUUUUGUUGGGAGUUUGCGUGAAUGCUCAGAGAAGUAUGACACAGUUCUUUGUUUGAGUGUUGCAAAAUGGGUCCAUCUGAAUUGGGGUGAUGAUGGAUUGAUCAAUAUGUUUGUCAAGAUAUGGAGACUUCUUCGUCCGAAACUGUCAUCGUCUUUUAGGGUGGGAUCCUACUAUUGGAAGCUCAGCCAUGGUCUUCAUACAAAAGAAAUCAAAAUGUAUCUGCGACUGCAAGGGCCCAAUUCAAAUCUAUAUGUUUAAGGCCACAUAAUUUCCGGGAAUUACUUCUAGACAAGGUUGGAUUCAGAUCGGCAGAGGUUAUUACCGACAGUUUAUCUGGUACAGUUGUUGGGUUUGACCGACCAGUUGUGAUGUUUUGCAAGUGACUGGAGAAGGAAAGGCAGUUGCAGUAAACCAUAUCUAUUUUUUCCCAAGAUGGAUAUAUGACAAGUAAUAGCAACCCUGCAUCCUGAGACCAGAUCAAAUUUUGGUCAGGAAGGGCCUGAGCUACUGCUGGAUCCACACUAAAGCAUUCUUAGUCUUUCAUAUAAAAGCCGAGAGAUAUAGAGCAUCCCUCCUAGUGACCUCUUGAAAAAGGAGAAGCUGCCAUUGUUAAGGGAAAAUAUGCAGGAUGGUGAAAAGUAUUGUACGUAUCAAAACUCCACAGGCUGAAGCAUUGUUUAACCAUACAAGGUUGUGAAUUUUGAGGAGUUGGGAGGACAAAUUUGAUGGCCUGUUCUGGUUUUUCCUUCAUGGCAUCCAUUUUAUUGACCAGAACUCGAGCAAUAUUUUAUUCUUCAACAAUAUAUAUUAGAAACAACAGUUGCUACGCAUAUUUCAACAACAAAUUGCAAGAUUUUGCAAAAAAUUUCUAUUCCAACAAUUCAUGCUUGUAAGAUUGUUGAAUUAGUCUGAGAAUCUAGCAAGUGGUCUGUCUCAAAGUGCUAGAUUUGUUUCUCCAUGGUGACUGGUAAAAAGUACAGAUAUAUUAUCCUGAUUGCAUGUGA